Gasterosteus aculeatus aculeatus (three-spined stickleback) is the source of this 347-nucleotide long non-coding RNA. NCBI's taxonomy places the organism in Eukaryota, Metazoa, Chordata, Actinopteri, Perciformes, Gasterosteidae. The record is from Ensembl.
CCCCCCCCCGCUCACCCUUUGGGGAAUUAACCCCUCCGCUCCACCGGCUCAUUAGUCAAAACGGUCCGAGGCGAAGGACUGAGGGAUGUUCGUGCCACGUCUAUUUCCGUCCUCCUCUCCCCUAUUCCGCUGCAGAGACGGAGCAGGGGCGGUCCGCCUAGCAGUUACAAGGAGACAGCCAGUGUUGCCGUUCCCCCCCCCCUGGGAAGGAAGCAGUAUUGCCAGAUGGAGCCGUGGUCAGCUUCAAGUUGGGAGCCGCGGCCCAGGAUGGGCAAUUUGGACCCCACUCUGUGGCGGCAAUUUGUUCAGGACAGAAAUAACUCGGUCUUGAACUGAAAAUACACUGU